CCCCAAACUGGAAAGAAGAUGCUAAUUAAAGUGAAGGGUACCUGCUUCUCCCAGUCCCUAACGUAGGUCGCCUCCGAGCACAGCCCUAAAAUCGGGGCCUCCCAAGGGCUAGACUAUGAGCCUUUACUGGUGGUUGCCAAGGUGUGGUAUCUCACCCGUCCUACAGGAACCAAAGCGGGGAGUGUGUUCAGUCAGUACCUGCCUUUCUGAGCCUGGCAUCCUGGACCAGCCUCACUUCCUUGGCUGAGGCAGACGCUGACCGGAAAGGAGAUUGAGAUUGACAUUGAACCUACAGACAAGGUGGAGCGAAUCAAGGAGCGUGUGGAGGAGAAAGAGGGAAUCCCCCCACAACAGCAGAGGCUCAUCUACAGUGGCAAGCAGAUAUUACACUCUCUGGCCUUUCUGGGUCGACACGCACGUAGACCCUCCGUUCCAUAAGAGCAGUGAUGGAACUGUACGAGAUAGGCGGGGCCAAGACGUCCGACUGUACCCAGAGGUGCCUGAGGUCCUAAAACGAUUGCAGAGCCUUGGGGUGCCCGGUGCGGCUGCUUCAAGGACAAGUGAGAUAGAAGGGGCCAACCAGCUACUGGAGCUCUUUGACCUCUUCAGGUACUUUGUUCAUCGGGAAAUCUAUCCAGGCAGCAAGAUCACACACUUUGAGAGGUUGCAGCAGAAGACUGG
Molecule: long non-coding RNA, 681 nt
Filed under: Homo sapiens (human)
Lineage: Eukaryota; Metazoa; Chordata; Mammalia; Primates; Hominidae
Description: NEDD8-MDP1 readthrough (ENSG00000285425.1)
Source: RNAcentral